UUUCCGUAGGUGAACCUGCGGAAGGAUCAUUAUCGAGUUUUGACUGGGUUGUAGCUGGCCUUCCGAGGCAUGUGCACGCCCUGCUCAUCCACUCUACACCUGUGCACUUACUGUGGGUAUCAGGUCGUGAAGCGUGCUCUUUUACCGGAGCUUGUGAAGCGUGUCUGUGCCUGCGUUUAUCACAAACACUAUAAAGUAUCAGAAUGUGUAUUACGAUGUAACGCAUCAAUACAACUUUCAACAACGGAUCUCUUGGCUCUC
This 261-nucleotide unclassified non-coding RNA is filed under the name plant metagenome. Its description in RNAcentral is "partial contains small subunit ribosomal RNA, internal transcribed spacer 1, and 5.8S ribosomal RNA". The record is from RNAcentral.